RNAcentral lists this ribosomal RNA (660 nucleotides) under uncultured bacterium. RNAcentral describes it as "bacterial SSU rRNA". It matches the Rfam family "Bacterial small subunit ribosomal RNA", at positions 102 to 783 of the family's 1533-position model. The record is from RNAcentral.
ACGGGUGAGUAAUAUAUCGGAACGUACCGAGUAAUGGGGGAUAACUAAUCGAAAGAUUAGCUAAUACCGCAUAUUCUCUGAGGAGGAAAGCAGGGGACCUUCGGGCCUUGCGUUAUUCGAGCGGCCGAUAUCUGAUUAGCUUGUUGGCGGGGUAACGGCCCACCAAGGCAACGAUCAGUAGGGGUUCUGAGAGGAAGGUCCCCCACAUUGGAACUGAGACACGGUCCAAACUCCUACGGGAGGCAGCAGUGGGGAAUAUUGCACAAUGGGGGAAACCCUGAUGCAGCAACGCCGCGUGAACGAUGAAGGCCUUUGGGUCGUAAAGUUCUGUUCUAGGUGAUGAAAACUGACAGUAACCUAGGAGAAAGCCCCGGCUAACUCCGUGCCAGCAGCCGCGGUAAUACGGAGGGGGCAAGCGUUAUCCGGAAUUAUUGGGCGUAAAGGGUACGUAGGUGGCCUUUUAAGCGUAGGGUAUAAGGCAAUGGCUCAACCAUUGUUCGCCCUAUGAACUGGAAGGCUUGAGUGCAGGAGAGGAAAGCGGAAUUCCUAGUGUAGCGGUGGAAUGCAUAGAUAUUAGGAGGAACAUCAGCGGCGAAGGCGGCUUUCUGGACUGCAACUGACACUGAGGUACGAAAGCGUGGGGAGCAAACAGGAUUAGAU